GUGUGCUCUUGCAAGCAGGCAGAGAGGAACGUCACUCACUCCAUCAGUCCGCGACUGUCCACGUCAUGUCGCCCUCGAAGAUCCAGUGGCACACCUCCACCUCGCCGGGCUUGCCGCCGAGCGCCACGAACGCGCCGUGCGCCGGGCUCCAGUCGGACGUGUCCAGGUGGCAGAUGGCCACCCCGCGGUUGAUCUUCUCGCCGGAGCCGGAGCCAUCGGCGGCCAGGAUGUCGGCCUCGUACACCCGCACCUUGGGCACGGAGUGGCAGUAGUACACCAGGUACGGGAACAGGCUCUGGUGGCACGACACGGACCGCGUCACCCUGCCGCCGUCCACGCCGGCCACGGCGCCCAGCUGGACGCGCCCGCCGCCGCCCGCCGUGGACGCCGUGCUGCGCACCACGAUGUCGUCGCCCAGCACCUCCACCGCGAAGUCCACCACGUCCUCGGCCGACGUCGCGCACCGCUUCGUCUCGCCCUUGCUCGGCGCGCGCUCGCACUCCGCCACCGUGGACGCCACGGCCUUCCCCAGCGCCGUGUCGAGGGGCAGCCCGAAGGCCUCCGACACGGCGUUGGGCUCGAACGGUAUCCUCGCGGCGAUGGCCCUGGGCAGGAACGCCCUGGGCGGCAUCUUGUCCCUGAUGUCCGGCAUCGGCAUUCGGUUCCCGGCCACGAGCUCCCGCUCCCUGAAGAACUUCCCGGGCUCCGGCGACCACUUCAGGUGCUCGUGAUGCAUCGAUGCCGCUGCCUCCGCCGACACCGUCAGCACCGCGGCGGUGGAGCUGGAGACGGUGGUGUUGUGGUACCCCUUGAAGUCCACACCGCUCUUGGCAUAGCCCUUGAAGGUGUUGUUCUCGCCGGCGUACUCCUUGAACCCAAUGUGGUGGUUGGGGUUGGUGCCCUCGCCGUAGCCCUUGAAGAUGGUGCUGCCCGGGUUGGCCGAGUUGCCGUAGCUCUGGAACUCCGCCGCGCCGCCGUUUGCGCCCUUGGCGUAGGAGGUGAACCUGUCGUCGCCGACGUUGCCGUCGUCGCGGUAAUUCUUGAAGGUGUCGACGCCAGCGUUGCCGCCGGCGCCGUAGCUCCGGAACCUGUUCUCAGGGACGUUCCCCUCCACGCCGUAGCCCGUGAAGGUGUCCGUGGCGCCGUUGGCGGACUGCCCGUAGUUGGCGAAGCCGGAGGCCAGCACGUUGGACUCAUUGCCGUAGGACUUGAACGUCUCGCGCACGCCGUUGCCGUUCUUGCCGUAGCCGGAGAAGCCGUUCUCCCCAUGGUUCGCCUCCUGGGAGUAGGACGCGAAGCUCCGGCCGCGGCCGUUGGCGGCGGCGUCGUAGUUGGUGAAGGUGGAGUCCGGGACGUUGGUCUCGGCGGCGUAGGCGGCGAAGGAGCCCGAACCACCCGUGGCGCCGCCGGCGUAGGAGGUGAAGUUGGCGGUCACGACGUUGCCGUCGGCCUCGUAAGAGGUGAAGCUGUCGGCGCGUCCCGACGAGUCCCGGCCGUAGCGGCGGAAGCUGUCGGCGGCGAUGUUGAGGUCCGGGGAGUACUUCUGGAACGAGUCGGUCCCCGCUACGCCGCCGGUGCCGUAGUUGGAGAAGUUGGCGUUGUUGUAGCCCUUGAAAGGUCCCCCGCCCCUGCGGCCCGAUGUCAGCGACGCCGCAUCAGUAGUAGCCGGCCCGGGGCAGAGGAGCGCGGCUUUGGUGCAGAGCGCGGGUAGGCUGGCGCGGAUGUCGGGCAGCGCGGAUGGGAAGGAGGCGGAGUCAGCGGCCGGGAGCGGGGAGAGUUUGGCGACGAAGAAGGCCGGGUGCGGGCGGUUGUUGGGCACCUUGCGGUUCCAGUAUCGGAUGAAUGCCGCCUUCGCCGUGAAUGGGUUCACCGCCGGCGACGCGCCGUCGGCUCUGGCGGCGGCAUUGUGCAAGAGGAGGAGCAGGGUAGCGGCGAGGACGGUGCGGGUGAGUGGCUGGGGAGGGGAAGAAGCCAUGGGAGAUUUGGGGAUGGGGAUUGCCAGAAACGGAGACGAGACGAGACGAGGCCAAUAUAGCAAGAGUGGGGACUGGGGAGUGUGUGUGAAUGCGAGCUGACAGGAUGGCACUACCGCACUAAAACAGUUAUUAGUUCAAAAUAAAAGAGAGAGAAGUGUCCAUUAACUGAUAAUGUAUUUCUCUUCAUCAUUCCCUCUCAUUUAUUUUGGGAAAAAAAUUCUUGUACUUCUAGGAGAAUAGUGUGGGAUAAUCGUCGUACUGGAUUUCAUGAGCUGAAGAUUAUUCAGAGGAUAUGACUAACCUCUCUAGACAAUAUGCUAGACUAUUCGUUUGACUUUAAUUCGUACCGGUUUCUACUAUUUCUACAACGUUUUAGUUUCUAUGUAUUAUAGUUACAGUAGUACAAACAACCUGAUUAUUCUUAUGAACACCGCUACAUGUACGAUUAUAGUGGUAGACUUAGGUACCACAAAGGUAUCUAAUAGUUCAUGAUUGAUUAGUUCAAUACAAGAGAUACGUAAGUCAAUCAUGAUAGAAGGGAUGGUACUGAAGUCAACACAGUCAGGACCGUCAAAGACAUAGAUGAAGACGCGACACAGUAGAGGAAGGGUUAACGAUGUUCUGGCCGGAUGUUCGUAGCAGAAUGGGCUGUACACGUUUUAGAUUUUCAUUUUAAUAGCAUGUCCGUUGGCUUUAAUCCUUAAUGCUACUGAUUCCAUAAUAUUUUCUAUAUAUAGAUUAUAGCUGUAACAAUCUAAACAGCUGUAUUCAACUCGAA
RNAcentral lists this unclassified non-coding RNA (2754 nucleotides) under Zea mays. RNAcentral's name for it is "misc RNA Zm00001eb178480". The record is from RNAcentral. Lineage: Eukaryota; Viridiplantae; Streptophyta; Magnoliopsida; Poales; Poaceae.